UGUGCAGUUAACACAAUUAUCACAGGGUCC
This 30-nucleotide non-coding RNA is filed under the name Homo sapiens (human). Lineage: Eukaryota; Metazoa; Chordata; Mammalia; Primates; Hominidae. The record is from RNAcentral.